GAUGAACGCUGGCGGCGUGCCUAAUACAUGCAAGUCGAGCGAACAGACGAGGAGCUUGCUCCUCUGACGUUAGCGGCGGACGGGUGAGUAACACGUGGAUAACCUACCUAUAAGACUGGGAUAACUUCGGGAAACCGGAGCUAAUACCGGAUAAUAUAUUGAACCGCAUGGUUCAAUAGUGAAAGACGGUUUUGAUGUCACUUAUAGAUGGAUCCGCGCCGCAUUAGCUAGUUGGUAAGGUAACGGGUUACCAAGGCAACGAUGCGUAGCCGACCUGAGAGGGUGAUCGGCCACACUGGAACUGAGACACGGUCCAGACUCCUACAGGAGGCAGCAGUAGGGAAUCUUCCGCAAUGGGCGAAAGCCUGACGGAGCAACGCCGCGUGAGUGAUGAAGGUCUUCGGAUCGUAAAACUCUGUUAUUAGGGAAGAACAAAUGUGUAAGUAGCUAUGCACGUCUUGACGGUACCUAAUCAGAAAGCCACGGCUAACUACGUG
This 497-nucleotide ribosomal RNA is filed under the name uncultured bacterium. RNAcentral describes it as "partial 16S ribosomal RNA". It matches the Rfam family "Bacterial small subunit ribosomal RNA", at positions 28 to 507 of the family's 1533-position model. The record is from RNAcentral.